Molecule: ribosomal RNA, 244 nt
Filed under: uncultured bacterium
Lineage: Bacteria
Description: partial 16S ribosomal RNA
Rfam family: Bacterial small subunit ribosomal RNA
Source: RNAcentral
CGUGAGCGGCGGACGGGUGAGUAACGCGUGGGUAACCUGCCUCAUACAGGGGGAUAACAGUUGGAAACGGCUGCUAAUACCGCAUAAGCGCACAGUACCGCAUGGUACGGUGUGGAAAACUCCGGUGGUAUGAGAUGGACCCGCGUCUGAUUAGGUAGUUGGUGGGGUAACGGCCUACCAAGCCGACGAUCAGUAGCCGACCUGAGAGGGUGACCGGCCACAUUGGGACUGAGACACGGCCCAA